RNAcentral lists this ribosomal RNA (587 nucleotides) under uncultured Microbacterium sp. Its description in RNAcentral is "bacterial SSU rRNA". It matches the Rfam family "Bacterial small subunit ribosomal RNA", at positions 300 to 873 of the family's 1533-position model. The record is from RNAcentral. Lineage: Bacteria; Bacillati; Actinomycetota; Actinomycetes; Micrococcales; Microbacteriaceae.
UCGCCCGGCCCCGGCCCCGCGCCCGUCCCGCCGCCCCCGCCCGCCUACGGGAGGCAGCAGGGGGGAAUAUUGCACAAUGGGCGAAAGCCUGAUGCAGCAACGCCGCGUGAGGGAUGACGGCCUUCGGGUUGUAAACCUCUUUUAGCAGGGAAGAAGCGAAAGUGACGGUACCUGCAGAAAAAGCGCCGGCUAACUACGUGCCAGCAGCCGCGGUAAUACGUAGGGCGCAAGCGUUAUCCGGAAUUAUUGGGCGUAAAGAGCUCGUAGGCGGUUUGUCGCGUCUGCUGUGAAAUCCCGAGGCUCAACCUCGGGCCUGCAGUGGGUACGGGCAGACUAGAGUGCGGUAGGGGAGAUUGGAAUUCCUGGUGUAGCGGUGGAAUGCGCAGAUAUCAGGAGGAACACCGAUGGCGAAGGCAGAUCUCUGGGCCGUAACUGACGCUGAGGAGCGAAAGGGUGGGGAGCAAACAGGCUUAGAUACCCUGGUAGUCCACCCCGUAAACGUUGGGAACUAGUUGUGGGGACCAUUCCACGGUUUCCGUGACGCAGCUAACGCAUUAAGUCCCCGCCUGGGAGAACGCCGACCUCCG